CUACCUUGUGGCACCCUGGGCGGACCGCCCCCUUAGUACGCCACUGGACUGUUUUUAUAAUUACAUUUACUGUGAUCAGUGCUUGGCAGGGUCACCCAGUCAGGAUCUAUUCAGAGCCUGGGGUUCUUCCUGGUGGAACCUGCAGUCCAGAAACACAGCAGCUGAAAAAAAAUGUGAUCAUCCUCAGUGUUCUGAAUUAAU
Molecule: non-coding RNA, 201 nt
Organism: Pelobates cultripes (western spadefoot toad)
Lineage: Eukaryota; Metazoa; Chordata; Amphibia; Anura; Pelobatidae
Source: the annotation of a GenBank genome assembly